GACGAACGCUGGCGGCGUGCUUAACACAUGCAAGUCGAACGGUUGGCACUGGAAGGUUCGCUGGAAGGUGUCGAUAGUGGCGGACGGGUGAGUAACGCGUGAGGACAUGGCUCCAGGAGGGGGAUAACGUUUGGAAACGGACGCUAAGACCCCAUAUGCCGGAAGGUGAAAAUGGCGUAAGCCAGCCUGUAGAGUGACUCGCGUCCUAUCAGCUAGUUGGUGGGGU
Molecule: ribosomal RNA, 226 nt
Filed under: uncultured Synergistota bacterium
Lineage: Bacteria; Thermotogati; Synergistota
Description: uncultured Synergistetes bacterium partial 16S ribosomal RNA
Rfam family: Bacterial small subunit ribosomal RNA
Source: RNAcentral